Orcinus orca (killer whale) is the source of this 1260-nucleotide long non-coding RNA. RefSeq lists it as uncharacterized. Lineage: Eukaryota; Metazoa; Chordata; Mammalia; Artiodactyla; Delphinidae. The transcript is spliced from 9 exons. The record is from RefSeq and is a predicted model, not a curated record.
ACUACCCAUUUCACACCGCUGUUCCAAGUUCUGGGAACACACCACCCAGUGAUAGCAAUGCCUCAGCCCAUGCCUCGACUCAUUUACCUGCAAUGUGAGCCAACAGAUAGACCAACACUUCAAAGUUAUGACAGAAAGUUGAGUGGGGUCCUGUGGGAAAGGAUGGAGCUCUCUCUACCGGGUUGGUCACCAGGCUGAACAAGGAGAAACAUGGCAACCAUUGGACUGGUUUUGAUGAUCUCUCAAAACCAAGGCUUCAGUUUCCAAGAACGACCUACGGUAGCAUAACUAGUGUGUGUCACACAUGCCACUAAGUGUGUUUCCACUCACACAUUUUAAUUGGAGAACUACUUCCUAUGAGGUGCCAGGAGCCAGACUCAGCCUACAGCUCUCUUCUGCUCGCCUGGAGGUGAAACAAGGUGUCAUGAUUAGUCAAAUCCCGGUCUUCACUCAUCAAGGUGGGGUCCUGUGGGAAAGGAUGGAGCUCUCUCUACCGGGUUGGUCACCAGGCUGAACAAGGAGAAACAUGGCAACCAUUGGACUGGUUUUGAUGAUCUCUCAAAACCAAGGCUUCAGUUUCCAAGAACGACCUACGGUAGCAUAACUAGUGUGUGUCACACAUGCCACUAAGUGUGUUUCCACUCACACAUUUUAAUUGGAGAACUACUUCCUAUGAGGAGAGAAAAGUUUCACUGAAGGCAGGUGUAGUUCAGCCAAGCCCUACAGCACAGAAGUUGGAAUGUGCCAGGAGCCAGACUCAGCCUACAGCUCUCUUCUGCUCGCCUGGAGGUGAAACAAGGUGUCAUGAUUAGUCAAAUCCCGGUCUUCACUCAUCAAGGUGGGGUCCUGUGGGAAAGGAUGGAGCUCUCUCUACCGGGUUGGUCACCAGGCUGAACAAGGAGAAACAUGGCAACCAUUGGACUGGUUUUGAUGAUCUCUCAAAACCAAGGCUUCAGUUUCCAAGAACGACCUACGGUAGCAUAACUAGUGUGUGUCACACAUGCCACUAAGUGUGUUUCCACUCACACAUUUUAAUUGGAGAACUACUUCCUAUGAGGUGCCAGGAGCCAGACUCAGCCUACAGCUCUCUUCUGCUCGCCUGGAGGUGAAACAAGGUGUCAUGAUUAGUCAAAUCCCGGUCUUCACUCAUCAAGAUACCCAAAGCCCCUUGCCUUUGGGGAGGCGGAUUUGAGACCUAUUGUCACGUCACGUCCUCGCUUGGCUGCCCUGUGAAUAAACCUCCUCUUUGCUGCAACCCUC